AACGAACGCUGGCGGCAUGCCUAACACAUGCAAGUCGAACGAGACCUUCGGGUCUAGUUGCGCACGGGUGCGUAACGCGUGGGAACCUGCCCUUAGGUUCGGAAUAACUCCCCGAAAGGGGUGCUAAUACCGGAUAAUGUCUUCGGACCAAAGAUUUAUCGCCUUUGGUUGUGCCCUCGUUGGAUUAGCUUGUUGGUAGGGUAAAAGCCUACCAAGGCGACGAUCCAUAGCUGGUCUGAGAGGAUGAUCAGCCACACUGGGACUGAGACACGGCACAGACUACUACGGGAGGGAGCAGUGGGGAAUAUUGGAAAAUGGGCGAAAGCAUGAUAAAGCAAUGCCGCGUGAGUGAUGAAGGCCUUAGGGUUGUAAAGCUCUUUUACCCGGGAUGAUAAUGACAGUACCGGGAGAAUAAGCUCCGGCUAACUCCGUG
This 433-nucleotide ribosomal RNA is filed under the name uncultured bacterium. RNAcentral's name for it is "partial 16S ribosomal RNA". It matches the Rfam family "Bacterial small subunit ribosomal RNA", at positions 29 to 507 of the family's 1533-position model. The record is from RNAcentral.